Molecule: long non-coding RNA, 302 nt
Filed under: Brassica rapa (field mustard)
Lineage: Eukaryota; Viridiplantae; Streptophyta; Magnoliopsida; Brassicales; Brassicaceae
Description: long non-coding RNA (BRAP_LNC006065)
Source: RNAcentral
ACACAAAAUGGCGCUACAAACCAAGAAAAACAAAGCAGAAGCCUUUCGUUGUGUUGAGGACGACCCAGGAUCAGAGUUUAUGAUAAAAGGUUCUUCUUAAGAGAUCAAACAGUGACCUCUCGUAAUAAAAACACUGAUGCUAUUUUUCUUUGAAAUUAAAGGAGAAAAGAGCCAAACAGAGCUGAAAGAGAGAAAGAAGAAGAGGCCAGAGAGAUUGAGAGAGAGAAAAGAGUAAAGGUUGUUCUGUACAAAUGCACGCGAAAUCUGACAAAGGCCACUUACUUGAGUGCCCCCUUCUCUUC